This is a non-coding RNA of Acanthosepion pharaonis, 98 nucleotides long. The record is from the annotation of a GenBank genome assembly. Lineage: Eukaryota; Metazoa; Mollusca; Cephalopoda; Sepiida; Sepiidae.
GUUAAAACAACAGUUCUCAUAUGAUCACCGAAGUUAAGCAACGUCAAGCCUGGUCAGUAAAUGGAUGGGUGACCGCUUGGGAACGCCAGGUAUUGUAA